GACGAACGCUGGCGGCGUGCUUAACACAUGCAAGUCGAACGAAGAGCGACGGAAGCUUGCUUCUAUCAAUCUUAGUGGCGAACGGGUGAGUAACGCGUAAUCAACCUGCCCUUCAGAGGGGGACAACAGUUGGAAACGACUGCUAAUACCGCAUACGAUCUAACCUCGGCAUCGAGGAUAGAUGAAAGGUGGCCUCUACAUGUAAGCUAUCACUGAAGGAGGGGAUUGCGUCUGAUUAGCUAGUUGGAGGGGUAACGGCCCACCAAGGCGAUGAUCAGUAGCCGGUCUGAGAGGAUGAACGGCCGCAUUGGGACUGAGACACGGCCCAGACUCCUACGGGAGGCAGCAGUGGGGAAUCUUCCGCAAUGGACGAAAGUCUGACGGAGCAACGCCGCGUGAGUGAUGACGGCCUUCGGGUUGUAAAGCUCUGUUAAUCGGGACGAAAGGCCUUCUUGCGAAUAGUGAGAAGGAUUGACGGUACCGGAAUAGAAAGCCACGGCUAACUACGUG
RNAcentral lists this ribosomal RNA (510 nucleotides) under uncultured bacterium. RNAcentral's name for it is "partial 16S ribosomal RNA". It matches the Rfam family "Bacterial small subunit ribosomal RNA", at positions 28 to 507 of the family's 1533-position model. The record is from RNAcentral.